CCUACGGGAGGCAGCAGUGGGGGAUAUUGCACAAUGGGGGAAACCCUGAUGCAGCGACGCCGCGUGUGGGAAGAAGCUCCUCGGCUCGUAAACCACUGUCCUCAGGGAAGAUAAUGACGGUAACCAAGGAGAAAGCUCCGGCUAACUACGUGCCAGCAGCCGCGGUAAUACGUAGGGAGCAAGCGUUGUCCGGAUUUACUGGGUGUAAAGGGUGCGUAGGCGGUCUUGCAAGUCAGACGUGAAAGCCACAGGCGCAACCUGGGGACUGCGGUUGGAACUGUGGGGCUGGAGUGAAGGAGAGGUAGGAGGAAUUCCCGGUGUAGCGGUGAAAUGCGUAGAGAUCGGGAGGAACACCAGUGGCGAAGGCGGCCUACUGGGCUGUAACUGACGCUGAGGCCCGAAAGCAUGGGUAGCAAACAGGAUUAGAUACCCUGGUAGUC
RNAcentral lists this ribosomal RNA (440 nucleotides) under uncultured bacterium. RNAcentral's name for it is "partial 16S ribosomal RNA". It matches the Rfam family "Bacterial small subunit ribosomal RNA", at positions 338 to 795 of the family's 1533-position model. The record is from RNAcentral.